Molecule: long non-coding RNA, 1201 nt
Filed under: Monodelphis domestica (gray short-tailed opossum)
Lineage: Eukaryota; Metazoa; Chordata; Mammalia; Didelphimorphia; Didelphidae
Description: lncRNA (ENSMODG00000044028.1)
Source: RNAcentral
CUUCCGGCUCUUCCUGCUCCUUUCCCAACUAGUCUUGAGUGUGGUAGCGUACACCUGCUCCCUUCUGGCUUUGGGGAAGGGGAUGAGACUGCGCUCCCGAACCGGAGGCAUACUGGGCCGCUGAGGCAUAGGAAUGGUCACAAGGUUUAAGCCCUGAAUUAAGUUUUCCCCCUUAGACGCCUCAAGCCCUCCAGCCCAAGAUGUAGCCCUCGAAUAGUCUAGCUGCGGGGUUCCGCGUUCAUGGUUUAAGGGAAAGUUAUCCAAACGGAAGUCCACCCCCGAAAACCAAUGAAGAAAGCCGAAUAGGAUUAUGAGAUGCGGGAGGGGGUGCCCCGCAGCUCUAAAAGCUCACCUCCUUACGACCCUGCCAAGAAUGUGGGUUGAGAAUUCAUCUAAGAACGCUGUGAAACAUGAGGCACACACAGGAGACCCCCUUUUCUAGCAGGCCAAUUCGGAUGACCCCCACCCCGCAUCAUUAUUGAGCACAGGUGUUGAACCCUUCACCUGUGUGUGUGUGCAGCGAAAGGGUCUUGACUUGAUGGGGCUGUCUGAGUGGUCCUCAACUGACAUGCAAUCCAUACUCUUUCAUUCAUAGAUACAGCUUUCCCUAUGGGAUUUUUGGAGGGGGAAAAUGACAUUAAAAAUUCUUCAGGGCAGGGGCAGUGAGAUGGCUCAGUGGAUGGAGAGAGCCAGACCUAGGGAGAGAGCGAAGAUCCUGGGUUCAAAUCUGGCCUCAGACUCUUUCUAGGGUGUGAUCUUGGGCAAGACACCACCCCAAGUGUGUAGGCUUUACCACUCUUUUGCCUUGGAACCAAUACACAGCAUCAAUUCUAAGACAGAAGGGGUUUCCCUGGACAGCAGAAGAAGGAAGGACAUAUUUGGAAAUGGAAUAAAAGCAAAAGGUCUCUACCCAUCCAUGCCUGUUUAUCAAGAGGGACUCAUCUAUGUCCUCUUGCAAUUCCACCCUAUUGGUUCCGUCCAAUGUGCUGUGAUGGGAAUAUGGGGGUGCUGGAAGGGAGGAAGGAGAGAAGGAAAGAGGAAAGGAGGAAAGCAGAGAGAUAUCUUGAAAAUUAGUUCUCUGAAAAUGGAAAACAGUAUGGCAGAAAUGAGACAGAGACUGUCACCUCAUGCCAUAUACCAAGGCACUGAAGUCCAAUGGCAAGAAAAGAGUCAGGAUAACUGGCGAUGCCCCUGGGUGUAG